UGAGGACGUAGUACAGGUUGGCGCCGUCCGGGUGCCCGCCGAGCAGCUCGGUGGAGAUGGUGCCCGUGCAACCCGGGUAGUCCGUGG
This 87-nucleotide transfer RNA is filed under the name Phytohabitans aurantiacus. Its description in RNAcentral is "Micromonospora sp. RD004123 tRNA-Gly". The record is from RNAcentral. Lineage: Bacteria; Bacillati; Actinomycetota; Actinomycetes; Micromonosporales; Micromonosporaceae.